Folsomia candida is the source of this 804-nucleotide long non-coding RNA. RefSeq lists it as uncharacterized. The transcript is spliced from 3 exons. NCBI's taxonomy places the organism in Eukaryota, Metazoa, Arthropoda, Collembola, Entomobryomorpha, Isotomidae. The record is from RefSeq and is a predicted model, not a curated record.
AUGAAGUUAUCUGCAGUGCAAAACAUUACAACCAGUUCCGUUCACAUUUGGCUUCGUUGCAGAAAGAAAUUAUUGACAAGGAAUUGAUCAAUUCAGUGAUUUAAAAAUUCAAAUAUUUACCUAAAACUUUUCAUACUUGAAAAUUUAUAUUUUGCAUAUUAUAUUUAGGACGUAAUGCACAGUAUUGCGCUAGAAGUUCAGAAACCACCUCCUUCAACAAAGUUAAAAGAUAUACUUCCCAUGGACAAAUUGGCCGAAGUUCGGAAAACGCAGGAGGAUCUGUCAUUCAAUCAAGUAAUGAGGAUAGAAAAAAACAUUGGAAAAUGGGAACUAAGACUCAAUGCUAUCGAGAAGCGUAAGCAUCUCGAACUCGUAAAGUCCUCACAACGACAAACAGCUCAACAUUAUCGAAGCUGGUACCUUCGCCAGAAACGUAAGGUUGACAACGUCGUACGAAAUAAAGAAUUGUUGGGGGACGUCAUGAAACGUGAAAUUCAGAGGGAGGAGAGGUUGGCUCAGCGCCCAGUUCGAGAGCGAGGCUUCAAAGAGCAACACAUGCCGAGGCAUUUUUGACACAACAAUUACGAGACCAACAAGCGCUGGAGUUGUUAAAGGACAUGGAUGACAAACGACAACUACAGAAAGUGGAAUGGAUUGAAAGAUAUAGGAAACACAUCAUUUAUAAGGAACAAAACCAAUCAAGAUGCCAUGCAUUAAGGAAAGCAAAAGAAGAUCGUGUUAUUAUGCUCAGGAGAAAAUACUUUGACUUGUGGAGGAAAAUCGUAAUUAGACACCGAGAGCGAC